AAAAAAUGCCAUACCUAUUGAGUCUUUGAUGGUUCUCAAAGUAUUCCUCAAUCUUUCAGUCCAUCAGUAACGUUAUUUUAAGAGCAAUUGUCCUAACAUAAAAGUCCGGUAACACAUGAAGAAGUAUAUAUGAGAAAUAAUAGAUGAGCUUUUUUACUUGUUUGUUCCAUAAAAAUUGCUUACAAAUUGUAUGAAGACAUUCUGAAAAUGUUAGGAUUCUUUGGAUCGUAGACUGUAAAACAAAUGGCUUCUCAGAGUAAAUUGUUAUUUGCUAAAAUUGACUUUUUGAUUGUUACACCUGAAAAAAUAUAUUCAUCUAAUUGUUCCCUUUAUUUUAGAAGCCUGAGUUACACUGAUUAGAUAGAUAUUCAAUUUAUAAUUUGAAGCUGUUAGGUUCCUUAAACUGUCUCUUCUCUUCCGUACAUUUUAUCUAUUAUCACAACUGUAAUCUUAACAAAUAAUACACUUUUUAAUGUCUUCGCGUUAGGAUGUAUUGCCGUGUUUUUCAUAUAAAAUUCAGUUGAUUUGAAACGGCACAUUCGUUAGCUGUUCAUUUGUGAGGUGUAAGCUCAGGCAGAUCCAACAAUUGCAUACAGAUUGUCUUUGAUCCUCUUGCACAUUUUUCAUGGAGAAGACACUUCAGCAAGCAGGCUUGAGCUAUUUUCCAGUUGAGUGGGAUUGGGAAACAGUGCACAAGACCAGGCAAGUAAUGUUUUCUUGUAUCUGGUUGAGGAAAUUGAUCUCCUUUGCAGGGUCAGAGAAAGUACUGUUAUUCUCACAAGACUGAAUGUGGGACCAGAAAAAUACAGUCAAGCCAUCAGAUUGCUUAAAUUUUGAAGGAAAAAAAGGAAUUUUCUAUCUUAAUACUGACUAUAAGGUACUUUCACUCGAAAGUAUUUAAAAUAUUUUGAAUUAAACCUGUCUUUAAAAAUAACACUAAUAAUGUUACUAAAAAAUGUAAUUUGCUGAAAUAAAUUCUGUAUGAUCUU
RNAcentral lists this long non-coding RNA (989 nucleotides) under Bos taurus (domestic cattle). Its description in RNAcentral is "long non-coding RNA NONBTAT020540". Lineage: Eukaryota; Metazoa; Chordata; Mammalia; Artiodactyla; Bovidae. The record is from RNAcentral.